UACGUAGGGGGCAAGCGUUGUCCGGAUUCAUUGGGCGUAAAGAGCUCGUAGGCGGCCUGUCGCGUCGGUUGUGAAAGCUCGGGGCUCAACCUCGAGACGCCGGUGGAAACUGCAAAGCUAGAGUCCGGAAGAGGAGAGUGGAAUUCCUGGUGUAGCGGUGAAAUGCGCAGAUAUCAGGAAGAACACCCGUGGCGAAGGCGGCUCUCUGGGACGGUACUGACGCUGAGACGCGAAAGCGUGGGGAGCGAACAGG
Molecule: ribosomal RNA, 253 nt
Filed under: uncultured bacterium
Lineage: Bacteria
Description: partial 16S ribosomal RNA
Rfam family: Bacterial small subunit ribosomal RNA
Source: RNAcentral